GCCCUAGAAAUCUGAAAUUGAAGUCGCUGAACCCCAGUUCGAGAUGCCGCCACUUCGAAGUCUCGAGAUCGAGUUCCCAAUACUCGACGCUAGAUUCCGGCGAUUCUGCGCCUCUCACGGCAUUUUCUCAGUGGAGGAUUUUCUUGUCCACGACUUCAGCAAGUUAGUUUCACUAGCCGAAGCUGAGGCAGGGCCGAAAGAGUUGAAGGAGGGGAUCUCUCAAAUUCUCUCUAUAAUAGAUGGUCAGCACCAACCAUGGUUGAAUGGAGUGCAGUUGCUUGAGGAUACUUUGCAGAAUAAGCAUUUUCUUUCCACCGGAUAUGAAGGGAUUGAUAUGCUUCUUGGAGGAGGACUGCGAGAGGGUCAAUUGACAGAAAUAGUUGGGCCAUCAUCUUCGGGGAAAACACAGGUUUGUUUACAUGUUGCUUCACAUGUUGCAGACAGUCAUUUGGGUGUUGUGUUCUUGGAUACAUCCAAUUCCUUUUCUGCUCACCGCGUUGCUUGCAUCAUAAAUCAGUUAUCAGGCCCCUUAGCUAAAGAGGUCAAUGAAAGAAGGGUUCAAAGGAUAAUGACCGGUAUAACAUGUCAGUCAGUUUAUGACAUAUUUGUGCUGCUGGAUGUACUGCACCAACUUGAAUUCUCAUUAAAGGUGAAAAGUGAAAGUGCCAAGACAAGCGUAUUGAUUAUCGAUUCAAUCUCAUCUCUGAUAGCCCCCGUCCUUGGAGGCAAAGAUUCUCAGGGGCGAUUGUUGAUGAUAUCAGCUGGAUUUUUAUUGAAGAAACUAGCAGAUGAAUACAAUCUUGCUGUACUAGUAACAAAUCAUAUGGUCAGUGGAGAGGGAGGAAGUUUGAAGCCUGCCUUGGGAGAGAGUUGGAAGAGUGUACCUCAUGUACGGCUGCUAUUAUCUCGCAAUCAAGGGAGCAACAUUGGCAACAUGUCUGUUUUAAAGCACACAUUUGUGGCUUGUGGUGAUACUGCAGAGUUUGUGAUUGCAGAUGAAGCUGCCUAAAUUAUAUGGGAUAUGAGAGAAAGAGAAAGAGUUGAAGAUAACAAACGAAGCUAGGCGGUGAAAAUAACUCCGAGUCCAGUCCCUUUGUUUGAGAGUGGCCCUGUUUGGCUUUUAUACCAGAGGUGAUAAAAACCGGUGAGCGGCAUCACUCAGUAGCUGGCAAUGCUGGAUUCAGUAGAUUUGCGAAAGACACGAGAAUCCAUUUCCACCAGUGUUAGGAGCGACAGAGUCGUUUCCUUUGUCCUUAGCUUUUCUGAAUUUUGAAACACGGGUGAAAUGUGAACCAACCAGGUGCUGCAUAUGAAGCUAUUUUUGCCUGCAAGGAGUUACAUUGAGAGGUAUUCUCAUUUCUCUUGUCUUUAGGGGUUGUUUGGUUGCAGCAGUCACAAUUGAAUGUAUGCAUCUGAGAUAUUUUGGGUCAGGUGCAGUUAUUUGUCCGUCAAACUUUCAAUCAUUUCGUACUAGCCCCUCGUGUAUAUGAAAUUGCUCAUGAGUCCCUUAGAUCCCAAGGUUUCUUGCAAUUUCGUCUCUCAGUGACCAAAAUGUCCCUCAGUGAUAUUUUUGAAAAUAACAAACGAAGCUAGGCGGUGAAAAUAACUCCGAGUCCAGUCCCUUUGUUUGAGAGUGGCCCUGUUUGGCUUUUAUACCUGAGGUGAUAAAAACCGGUGAGCGGCAUCACUCAGUAGCUGGCAAUGCUGGAUUCAGUAGAUUUGCGAAAGACACGAGAAUCCAUUUCCACCAGUGUUAGGAGCGACAGAGUCGUUUCCUUUGUCCUUAGCUCCUCUGAAUUUUGAAACACGGGUGAAAUGUGAACCAACCAGGUGCUGCAUAUGAAGCUAUCUUUGCCUGCAAGGAGUUACAUUGAGAGAUUCUGCUUAUCAUUUGGGCAUCCGAUUAUUGGCCUACUGCAUGUUGACCGGCCAAUCGGGCUUUGCCAAGUAAGCAGCAAUUAUCACACAUGAGGGUUAUUCAGACAUAGAGGGACGCAAAUUUUUUGGACUUGGAUGGGUUCGCGUUGCGGUCUUGCACGCAACAACGGUAGCUUGGUUCUGCUUCUUUUGGACGGUUGUACAGUGUGCCGGCGUGAGAAAUUCUUGUGCGCGCACGAGCGGUCCCCGUGCAAAUUUGCUCGCUUGCGCGCGCAUGGAAAAUUGUGAACGCUGGUAUAUAUUUUGUUUCAAUUUUAUUUGCCUUGUACCCGUAUUUUGUUAUAUCUUAUUUGGCACUAUCUAUAAGUAAUCAAUACUAAAUAACAUGUCCUAUACGUUUGCGCU
RNA transcript from Asparagus officinalis (garden asparagus), 2283 nucleotides. It is a transcript of the gene named DNA repair protein RAD51 homolog 4-like, with no coding region annotated. The transcript has 11 exons. Lineage: Eukaryota; Viridiplantae; Streptophyta; Magnoliopsida; Asparagales; Asparagaceae. The record is from RefSeq and is a predicted model, not a curated record.